This 158-nucleotide ribosomal RNA is filed under the name Haloguignardia irritans. RNAcentral describes it as "5.8S ribosomal RNA". It matches the Rfam family "5.8S ribosomal RNA". From Rfam's summary of the family: 5.8S ribosomal RNA (5.8S rRNA) is a component of the large subunit of the eukaryotic ribosome. It is transcribed by RNA polymerase I as part of the 45S precursor that also contains 18S and 28S rRNA. Functionally, it is thought that 5.8S rRNA may be involved in ribosome translocation. Lineage: Eukaryota; Fungi; Ascomycota; Sordariomycetes; Phyllachorales; Phyllachoraceae. The record is from RNAcentral.
UUAAAAACUUUCAGCAACGGAUCUCUUGGCUCUGGCAUCGAUGAAGAACGCAGCGAAAUGCGAUACGUAAUGUGAAUUGCAGAAUUCAAUGAAUCAUCGAAUUUUUGAACGCAUAUUGCGCCUACCGGUAUUCCGGCGGGCAUGCUUGUUCGAGCGUC